Molecule: transfer RNA, 64 nt
Filed under: Sphaeriusidae sp. BMNH 703456
Lineage: Eukaryota; Metazoa; Arthropoda; Insecta; Coleoptera; Sphaeriusidae
Description: tRNA-Leu
Rfam family: tRNA
About the family: Transfer RNA (tRNA) molecules are approximately 80 nucleotides in length. Their secondary structure includes four short double-helical elements and three loops (D, anti-codon, and T loops).
Source: RNAcentral
UCUAAUAUGGCAGAUUAGUGCAAUGAACUUAAACUUCAUAAAUAAAGUUUAACUUUUUUUAGAA